CACAGAAGACGAAGAGCUGGAAUAGAGCUCGCCUCGGCUCUGCUGGCCUUGGCUGCAGCUCUUCCAGAAACCCGGGGCGCCCACAGAAGAAUCUCUUACCUGGCUCUCUCUUCAGGGAUGACAUCAUCGGCUCACACCAGUCUUCCAGGACCACCUUCUGGAUGCCAAGGCUGCUGCUCGAGUACCUGCUGUGCACCUCUACCUCCUGAGCCAAGGAGCACGGAUUCCAGGAACCCACUACCAUACAGAGCAACUCCUUGUGGACCCCCCUGGGAUCAGGACAGCGAGGGACAAGCGACAAAGAGGAUCAUCAGUGGCCAGCUAGUUUCUCUGGGGUUCAAACCUUGAACCAGUGCCCUAGUGAGGGGGCACUGGCCAUGGCCCUUGACCUUUGCUCUGCUUGUGUCUUGAGUCUGAGCCCUUUCCUGUACAUCUGUGCUCGUGUUCAUCUGCUAGUGAACUGGAGUGCUGCCCUCCCCGAGGAGGGUCGUCCCUUGUGACUGAUCAUGCUGUCCUAACAAUGUCCUGAGCAAAAGGGUCCCUUUGGGAACCUCUCAGGAGGGGGACCCGGGUCAGGGGCGACCAGCAUCUUGCUGGCAACUCCGUGGGUGGGGUGGGGUGGGGUGCUUCCUUCUGGAAUGAGCACGUGGCUGACCCCCCAAGGCAUGUCCCCUCCCCCUCCUCCACCCACCUUCUCGGAGAUGUCCCUUUUGGGGUAGUGGGGACAUUAGGAGCAACCUCCUAGGGUUGUUGUGAGAAUUAAAUGAACUGCAGCAGCCUGAGGCAGGGCUGGGCAGAGACCUCAGCACAUGUUUGUUGAAAGGUUUGCAGGUGGAUCUAGUCCUCCCGUUCAUGGCUCAUGUGUCUCAACCAUUCUCUCGCAGACUCCUGCAGCCCCUAUGCCCAGGGCUCUCCUUGCGCCAGAGGUAGGUGGGAAAGAGAACUGGGAGAGCCCGGACUCACUCAUGAGAUUGAACUUAAAUUCACACGGAGGACACUUGGACUCUUGCCACAUUAGCCCCGGCUUCUCGAGGCCUGUCUACACUCGCUGCUUUCCUUCCUCACCUCCAAUUUCCCCUCCAACCCACUGCUUCCUGACUCGCUCUUCUCCAUCGAACGGCUCUCGCUCAGGUUUAAGGCUUGGCUUGCUGGCCCUGGAGAUCCCGUCGCCGUCUUCGUCGAACUCGAAAUCCUAGCCAUCGUCCUUCCCUGGCCUGUCGCGUCUUCCUGUGCCAUUUGCUGUUGUGCUCAGGUUCCACGAGCUGCCCAUCUCCACAGAAGAGCAGCUGGCAUUGCCCACCGGCCAUGCCGGCUGAAGAAAAGAAGACUGAGGACCCCAGGAUGCCCAGCGCGAGGACCCCAGGAAGCCCAGCGCGAGGACUCCACCCACGACGCCCAGCGCGAGGACUUCACGCACAACACGUUGCAACCCUCCUGGAUUAGGCCAAAGCCAUCAUCUGGAAUCCUGCGUGGGACCCUGGACACACGGACACAGACACCUGCCCCCAGGACCCUCCAACUGUAAAUCCCUCUACAGCCACGGGGACGCCUUGCACAUUUCCUGUGGGACAUGCUGGACCCAAGACUCUGGACCCUGGCCUCCCCUUGAGUAGAGAGACCCACCUACUGACUGAUGAACUGCGCUGACCCUGGGGUCAGGCAUGUGGCCUUGAUCCCUACCCAUGGACCCUGAGACUUGGGGGGGUGGGAGAAAGGCUGUUGUGUCUUCACUGUUGAGUCUACAUCUGUGAAAUGGGCUCAGGUUCCUACCUCACAGGGCUGUUGUGAGGCAGCCGCAAUGUGCUUAGAAGCAUGGGGCCUAGUGGCUCAUGGUGCUUUCAAUAAAUUUCUUGUUUUAACUAAAGCA
RNAcentral lists this long non-coding RNA (1867 nucleotides) under Mus musculus (house mouse). RNAcentral describes it as "maternally expressed 3". The stretch from base 521 to 622 matches the Rfam family "Maternally expressed 3 conserved region 2". The record is from RNAcentral. Lineage: Eukaryota; Metazoa; Chordata; Mammalia; Rodentia; Muridae.